UACGGAGGGUGCAAGCGUUAUCCGGAUUCACUGGGUUUAAAGGGUGCGUAGGUGGGUCUGUAAGUCAGUGGUGAAAUCUCCAAGCUUAACUUGGAACUGCCGUUGAUACUAUAGACCUUGAAUGCUGUGGAGGUGAGCGGAAUAUGUCAUGUAGCGGUGAAAUGACUUAGAUAUGACAUAGAACACCAAUUGCGAAGGCAGCUCACUACCCAGAUAUUGACACUGAGGCACGAAAGCGUGGGGAUCAAACAGG
Molecule: ribosomal RNA, 253 nt
Filed under: uncultured bacterium
Lineage: Bacteria
Description: partial 16S ribosomal RNA
Rfam family: Bacterial small subunit ribosomal RNA
Source: RNAcentral